This 427-nucleotide ribosomal RNA is filed under the name uncultured bacterium. RNAcentral describes it as "partial 16S ribosomal RNA". It matches the Rfam family "Bacterial small subunit ribosomal RNA", at positions 354 to 797 of the family's 1533-position model. The record is from RNAcentral.
GUGAGGAAUUUUCCGCAAUGGGCGAAAGCCUGACGGAGCAAUGCCGCGUGAAGGAUGAAGGCCUAUGGGUUGUAAACUUCUUUUCUCAGAAAAGAAUUAUGACGGUAUCUGAGGAAUAAGCAUCGGCUAACUCUGUGCCAGCAGCCGCGGUAAGACAGAGGAUGCAAGCGUUAUCCGGAAUGAUUGGGCGUAAAGCGUCUGUAGGUUGUUUAAAAAGUAUUCUGUCAAAGAUUAGGGCUUAACCCUAGAUAGGCAGAAUAAACUUUUAAGCUAGAGUUUGGUAGAGGCAGAGGGAAUUCCCGGUGGAGCGGUGAAAUGCGUAGAUAUCGGGAGGAACACCAAAGGCGAAGGCACUCUGCUGGGCCAAUACUAACACUGAGAGACGAAAGCGAGGGGAGCAAAUGGGAUUAGAAACCCUGGUAGUUCC